This 1156-nucleotide unclassified non-coding RNA is filed under the name Hevea brasiliensis (rubber tree). The record is from RNAcentral. Lineage: Eukaryota; Viridiplantae; Streptophyta; Magnoliopsida; Malpighiales; Euphorbiaceae.
AAUAAAAAGCCUUAGCAUAGGAUGAGAGGAUCUCAACAUCUCGUAGAGCCCAUGAAAUUGAAAUUAUUUUAUAAUGGGAAGACUCUCUCUAGAUUCUAGAGAGAGAAAUCUCUCUCAUUUUCUUCAUCUUCUGUGCUAUUACAGCUUUUUUCUUGUCAAUAUUACAAGCUCUCUUGCCUCGUUUGAACAAGGGAUGGCUUUCCCCUAGUCCCAGAGAGUCUGUCUCCAAUUUCAAUCUCUAAAUAGUUUUCCUUUAUUGAAUUUUGUUGAGUUUUGUUGCAGGUCGAUUACUCUAUGGGAAGGGCUGUUGAUCUGGACCUGCGUAUCUCCACUGCGCCUCUAGAAGCUGCUCUCUAAGUUACGUUUCUGGGUUGCUCUAUUCUGGAAGCUCGACUUUUGGGAGGGUUUGAGAAUGGUGCUCUUAUGGGUUUAGGCUUUUCGAUGAUUGUUCUUCAGUGUUUUGAAACCAAAAUUUACUUUGGGAUAGACAAAGUUAUAGACUUUUCUAUUAGGUAUGUUCCCGUUUCAGUCCCAAACUUAAUCUAUGAGCAAUCUCAGUUCCAUACUCAAAAUCUAUGAGCAAUUACAGGUAAACAACAUCAACCCAUAUGAAAAAACAACAAAUCUCAACAAAAUAGAAUAAAAUAUAAGAAAUAAAUCUGAGAUAAAAUAGAUACUUAUAAUCUCAUCAAAGGAAACACCAACAAAACCAAAGAUCUCGCUAACCAAACACCAAAUACGAACAGAUUCUUGAACAUCAAAAUGGGUUUGAGUCUCUUGAACAUCAAAAUAUAGCAAACUCAUCCUAUACGCCAAGCUCUUACUAGCCAAAGACCUCGCUGAUGCACUCAUGCACAUCUACCAGCAAUCCCCAAAUGGGCUUGUGUCGUGAGUCUUGGUUUGAGGGAAGAGGCGUGAAGACGAGGGAGAUGCAGGUGGCGAUGUCGAAGGAGAAGAAAAAUGAUGAAAUUAAGGAGCCUAGUCAUAGAUUCUGUGUUAAGCCAGUGAGGAGCGUGAAGAAGAAAUUUAUGAGCACAAGAAGAACAGAAUAAGAAGAGGAGGAGGAAGACCAGCAAAUAUGCAGUUGCGAAAGAGAGGCAACGUAAGUGCUAAGGGGGAAGUAGUCGGAGCACAAGGGCCCCAAUAAAAGAAAAAA